UACGGAGGUGGCAAGCGUUGUUCGGAUUUACUGGGCGUAAAGGGCGCGUAGGCGGCGUGGUAAGUCAAUUGUGAAAUCUCCGAGCUUAACUCGGAACGGUCAAUUGAUACUGCUGUGCUAGAGUACAGAAGGGGCAAUCGGAAUUCUUGGUGUAGCGGUGAAAUGCGUAGAUAUCAAGAGGAACACCUGAGGUGAAGACGGGUUGCUGGGCUGAUACUGACGCUGAGGCGCGAAAGCUAGGGUAGCAAACGGG
Molecule: ribosomal RNA, 253 nt
Filed under: uncultured bacterium
Lineage: Bacteria
Description: partial 16S ribosomal RNA
Rfam family: Bacterial small subunit ribosomal RNA
Source: RNAcentral